UUUGAAAAUUGUAUAGAUUAUUUUUAAAAGUUUAUAUAGAUAUACUGGAAAGCUUGAGGAGAUUGUUUAAUUUUAAGUAGUUAAAAUGAAUUGUUGCUGCGAAGAUUGUGUUAUACAAAAUAUUGGAAAAAAUUCAAGACACGAGUUGCAGACAGGAAGUUUCUCUCGUAUAACGGAUUAUUAUAAUCAUUAUACAAGGUGUCCCGAAAAUUCUUGAGUUCCAGCUGUACGCCGUUCAUUAUUCCAAAACGAAGGGAACUGAAUCCACCAUGGGAGAAAAGAAAAAGAAGACAUAACGUGG
This is a long non-coding RNA of Apis dorsata (giant honeybee), 301 nucleotides long. RefSeq lists it as uncharacterized. The transcript has 3 exons. NCBI's taxonomy places the organism in Eukaryota, Metazoa, Arthropoda, Insecta, Hymenoptera, Apidae. The record is from RefSeq and is a predicted model, not a curated record.